GGCAUAUGACCGACCUUCAACGUUGAAAUUUGGUUGAAAUUAGGUCAGUUGUUUGUUCAACGUUGAAACAACGUUGAAACAACGGUGAAUGGUAAACGGUUGAAAAAGGUUAAUAAAAUGCUUAAAAAUCAACGUUGAAAUUUGGUUGAAAUAACGUCAGUUGUUUGUUCAACGUUGAUUCAACGUUGAAACAACGUUGAAACAACAGUGAAGUAAAUGGUUGCAGAGAGACAAUAAAAUAAUGUUUUAUAAUAUGUGAAUCAUUCAGAAAAAAAAUUAAAAACUCAUUUUAUAAAAUUGAUGACAUUAUAAAAAAAAUUUAACAAAUAAUUGAAUAUACAGGUAGCGACGUAAUCUCGCGAGAUUACACGAGACUGGACUGUUUUAACGGCUGUCUUCGAGAUCUUGCGUAUCACACGAGAAAAUGCUUCAGAGAAAGAAGAGAGCCCUUCAAAUUAGAAAAGUGAGGAUGAUCUUGUCAAUGCUGAGAUUUUCAUGCAUCAACAGCCACUACAUCUGGAUCAAAUUGAACAAGAAACAGACAGCAAGGGUUGUCAGAUCAGAAACAGAAUGACACACAAACACAAGAAACUUCACAGGCAGAUCAACAUGCAAUUUGAAGACGUGUGAUAAAAUACAGAGAGGUGAAGUAGUGUGUCUUUCCAGAUCCCUAAAUCAUUCCCCCUUAAAAG
Paramisgurnus dabryanus is the source of this 692-nucleotide long non-coding RNA. RefSeq lists it as uncharacterized. Lineage: Eukaryota; Metazoa; Chordata; Actinopteri; Cypriniformes; Cobitidae. The record is from RefSeq and is a predicted model, not a curated record.